CAAGUGACCCCGGUCUAACCACCGGGAUGUUCAUAACCCUUUGUUGUCCGACUCUGUUGCCUCCGGGGCGACCCUGCCUUCGGGCGGGGGCUCCGGGUGGACACCUUCAAACUCUUGCGUAACUUUGCAGUCUGAGUAAACUUAAUUAAUAAAUUA
Molecule: unclassified non-coding RNA, 156 nt
Filed under: soil metagenome
Description: partial internal transcribed spacer 1
Source: RNAcentral